This 59-nucleotide ribosomal RNA is filed under the name Scleroramularia musae. Its description in RNAcentral is "partial 28S ribosomal RNA". It matches the Rfam family "Eukaryotic large subunit ribosomal RNA", at positions 1 to 57 of the family's 3401-position model. Lineage: Eukaryota; Fungi; Ascomycota; Dothideomycetes. The record is from RNAcentral.
GUUGACCUCGGAUCAGGUAAGGAUACCCGCUGAACUUAAGCAUAUCAAUAAGCGGAGGA